GUACUGCUGACGAAUCCGAUAAUGGGACGAAACGGCCGUCCAGUGC
This 46-nucleotide non-coding RNA is filed under the name Schistosoma mansoni. The record is from RNAcentral. Lineage: Eukaryota; Metazoa; Platyhelminthes; Trematoda; Strigeidida; Schistosomatidae.